UGGUGUGGAAAAGGUUCAUUUCUUUAC
Molecule: non-coding RNA, 27 nt
Filed under: Mus musculus (house mouse)
Lineage: Eukaryota; Metazoa; Chordata; Mammalia; Rodentia; Muridae
Source: RNAcentral